GAGGGUUUUAAGAAUAAAGAGCCCUAAACUGAUCAUUGAAUUGCUAUCAUAAGGGCUACACUAUGCCUAGACUUUAUUCUUACAGAAACAAUAACGCUCCUGAUUUCUAAAUUUGUGAUGGGAGGCCAUUUUUUUUUAAAUUAAAGCACUUG
Sander lucioperca (pikeperch) is the source of this 152-nucleotide long non-coding RNA. RefSeq lists it as uncharacterized. The record is from RefSeq and is a predicted model, not a curated record. NCBI's taxonomy places the organism in Eukaryota, Metazoa, Chordata, Actinopteri, Perciformes, Percidae. The transcript has 3 exons.